ACCCUACGGGCGCAGCAGUGAGGAAUAUUGGUCAAUGGGCGGGAGCCUGAACCAGCCAAGUCGCAUGAGGGAAGACGGUCCUAGGGAUUGUAAACCUCUUUCGGCGGGGAGCAAUGCCGGGCACGCGUGCCCGGAGGGAGAGUACCCGCAGAAUAAGCAUCGGCUAACUCCGUGCCAGCAGCCGCGGUAAUACGGAGGAUGCGAGCGUUAUCCGGAUUUAUUGGGUUUAAAGGGUGCGUAGGCGGAUUUUUAAGUCAGCGGUAAAAUGUCCGGGCUCAACCCGGGCCGGCCGUUGAAACUGGGGG
This 305-nucleotide ribosomal RNA is filed under the name uncultured bacterium. Its description in RNAcentral is "bacterial SSU rRNA". It matches the Rfam family "Bacterial small subunit ribosomal RNA", at positions 335 to 639 of the family's 1533-position model. The record is from RNAcentral.